UAUUUAAUUAAUUCUACUAAUAAUUAUAUACUUAUUUUAAAGAUUAAGCUAUAUAUAUCUAAAUUUAAGUAAUUAAACUACAAAACUACAAAUAGCUUAUUAAAUUAAUUAUAAUUUAUUUAAUAGUACCUUACUAUAUAAAUAACCAUAGUAAUUCUAGAGCUAAUAUAUACUAAAAACCCCGACUUCGGAAGGGGUAUAUUUAUUAAAUUAAAAACUAAUACCCUUCGGGGCUAAUUAAUAAUUUAUAAUAAUUUCUCGAAUUGUAUAGCUUUAUACUAGCGAUAAUUCAUUCAAAUUUCUACCCUAUUAAUUUUCAAUAGUUAAAUUUUAGCCAACUAUAGUAACAACGAAUAACGGAGGGUUAAAACUCAACCCCAGAGAAGGAGCCUAAGAAAUAGCUACUAUAUCUAAAGAAAGUAGUAAACGUAUAAAUUACCCAAUUCUAAUAUAAAAAGGUAAUAAUAAUAAAUAUUAAUAUAAAGCUCUUUUAAAUCUUAUAAUUAGAAUAAAUACAAUUUAAAUCCCUUAACGAAGAAUAAUUAGAAAGUAAGUCUAAUACUAGUAACUGUAAUAAUUCCAAUUCUAAUAACGUAUAUUAAAAUUAUUAAGGUUAAAAAGCUUGUAAUUGAACCUUAAGCUCGGCCUAUUAAUCCGCCUCACCGCGUAUACUAACUAAAUUGGGCCUUUUUUCCUAGAGAACUAUAUACCCUUUACUAAGUAUAUCGGAGAAUUAGGACUUUUACUAUAAAUAAAUUAAAUUACUUAAAGAAGGCCUAUAUUCGAAUAUACUAAUAUAGAAUAAUAGAAUAGGACGUAUAGUUCUAUUUUAUUAAUUUCUAGGACCGCCGUAAUAAUUAAUAGGGAUAAUUAGGGGUAUUAAUAUUCAAUUAUUAGAAGUAAAAUUCUUAGAUUUAUUAAAAACUAACUACUAUAAAAGUAUUUACUAAGAAUAUUUUUAUUAAUUAAAAACGAAAAUUAAAGGAUCGAAGACAAUUAAAUACUAUUGUAAUUUUAAUUAUAAACUAUAUUAAUUAAAGAUCGGACAAUAUUAUUUUUUAACCCGUUCGGUACCUUACAAUAAAUUAAAAUAUUUAGGCUCCUAAGAGAGUAUAAUUACAAAACUAAAACUUAAAGAAAUUAAUAGAAGGGUACUACCAAAGGUAGAGCCUAUAGUUUAAUUUAAUUCAAUAUAAGGAAAUUCACUAAGUCUAAAUACAAUAAAAAUUAACAAAUUAAAAACUCUUUCUUAAUUUUGUAAAUAAUAGUAUAUAACUAUUCUUAAUUAGUAGAGUAAUUUAUCUAUUUAAUUAUAAUAACAAACGAAACCUUAACCUACUAAAUAACCUAUAUUACUUUAAUAAUAUACUAACUUCUUAAAGGAAUUAUCGGCUUAAACUAAUAGAAGUUUAAAGCAAUAACAAAUUUAUAAUACCCUUAAAUAUUCUAAGCCGUACGCGUACUAUAUUAAUAUAAUUAAUAAAUACUCCCUUAGCCGGAAGGUCCGAAUAAUCUUAUUAAACUAUAUUAUAUUAGGGAUAAAGUAUUAUAAUUAUUAUUCUUCAAUAAAAAAUCCCUAAUAAAUACAAAUUAUUAAUUUAUAUUAAUUAUAUCCCUACCCUUUAUAUACACCGCCUAUCGCUACUACUAAUUAAAUAGUUUAAUAAAAUUUCCGGACUAACCUAAGGAAAUUAAUAAUAACUACCCAAAACCGGAAAACUAUCCAAACUCAAUUAUUUAAAGGAAAUAAAAGUCGUAACAAAAUCUCCGUUAAUAAACUAAUAGAAAGAUUAUUA
Molecule: ribosomal RNA, 1796 nt
Organism: Neurospora crassa OR74A
Lineage: Eukaryota; Fungi; Ascomycota; Sordariomycetes; Sordariales; Sordariaceae
Rfam family: Eukaryotic small subunit ribosomal RNA
Source: Rfam